Molecule: transfer RNA, 64 nt
Filed under: Haplothrips aculeatus
Lineage: Eukaryota; Metazoa; Arthropoda; Insecta; Thysanoptera; Phlaeothripidae
Description: tRNA-Gly
Source: RNAcentral
AUAUAUUUAGUAUAAACAGUAUUACAUUUAUUUUCCAAAUAAAAAAUUUAUUUUUAAAUAUAUA